Non-coding RNA from Podarcis lilfordi (Lilford's wall lizard), 74 nucleotides. Lineage: Eukaryota; Metazoa; Chordata; Lepidosauria; Squamata; Lacertidae. The record is from the annotation of a GenBank genome assembly.
GCCCAUCAUAGCUCAGUCAGUAGAGCAUAAGACACUCAAUCUCAGGGUUGGGGGUUUGAGCCCUACAUUGGGCA